This 253-nucleotide ribosomal RNA is filed under the name uncultured bacterium. RNAcentral's name for it is "partial 16S ribosomal RNA". It matches the Rfam family "Bacterial small subunit ribosomal RNA", at positions 524 to 776 of the family's 1533-position model. The record is from RNAcentral.
UACGUAGGGUGCAAGCGUUAAUCGGAAUUACUGGGCGUAAAGCGUGCGCAGGCGGUUAUGUAAGACAGUUGUGAAAUCCCCGGGCUCAACCUGGGAGCUGCACCUGUGACUGCAUAGCUAGAGUACGGUAGAGGGGGAUGGAAUUCCGCGUGUAGCAGUGAAAUGCGUAGAUAUGCGGAGGAACACCGAUGGCGAAGGCAAUCCCCUGGACCUGCACUGACGCUCAUGCACGAAAGCGUGGGGAGCAAACAGG